UUGGAGGGCAAGUCUGGUGCCAGCAGCCGCGGUAAUUCCAGCUCCAAUAGCGUAUAUUAAAGUUGUUGCAGUUAAAAAGCUCGUAGUUGAAUUUCGGGAUUAGUACGCUGGUCGUGCCUUCGGUACGUACUGGUGUUACUGAUUCCUACCUUCUGACGAACCAUCAUGUCAUUAAUUUGGUGUGGCGGGGAAUCAGGACUGUUACUUUGAAAAAAUUAGAGUGUUUAAAGCAGGCUCGCGCUUGAAUACAUUAGCAUGGAAUAAUGAGAUAGGACGUUGAUCCUAUUUUGUUGGUUUCUAGGAUUGACGUAAUGAUCAAUAGGGAUAGUUGGGGGCAUUAGUAUUCAAUUGUCAGAGGUGAAAUUCUUGGAUUUAUUGAAGACUAACUACUGCGAAAGCAUUUGCCAAGGAUGUUUUCAUUAAUCAAGAACGAAAGUUAGGGGAUCGAAGACGAUCAGAUACCGUCGUAGUCUUAACCAUAAACUAUGCCGACUAGGGAUCGGAUGAUGUUAUUUUUAAUGACUCAUUCGGCGCCUUACGGGAAAC
This 546-nucleotide ribosomal RNA is filed under the name uncultured Glomeromycotina. Its description in RNAcentral is "SSU rRNA". It matches the Rfam family "Eukaryotic small subunit ribosomal RNA", at positions 548 to 1098 of the family's 1831-position model. The record is from RNAcentral. Lineage: Eukaryota; Fungi; Glomeromycota.